AUUAAGCCAUGCAUGUCUAAGUACAAACCGAUUAAAUGGUGAAACCGCGAAUGGCUCAUUAUAUCAGUCGUAAUCUACAGGAUAUCGAUCCCAACUCGUUGGAUAACUGUGGUAAUUCCAGAGCUAAUACAUGCACCGAAGCUCCGGUCCUCGCUUCGGCGAGGGAAGGGCGCAUUUAUUAGACCCAAAAACCGUUACAAACUCGCCUCGGGCGAGCGGUACAGGGGACUCCGAAUAACUUCGCCGAGCGCUUCGGUCUCGCGACCGGCGCCGUAUCCUUCGAGCGUCUGCCUUAUCAGCUCUAUCGUAAGGUAUCGGCUUACGACGGCUGUAACGGGUAACGGGGAAUCAGGGUUCGAUUCCGGAGAGGGAGCCUGAGAAACGGCUACCACAUCUAAGGAAGGCAGCAGGCGCGCAAUUUACCCAAUCCCGGCACGGGGAGGUAGUGACGAAAAAUACCGGUGCGAGGCUCCGACGAGUCAUCGCCAUCGGAUUGAGUUUAAACCAAAACCUUGGACGAGCGUCCAUUGGAGGGCAAGUCUGGUGCCAGCAGCCGCGGUAAUUCCAGCUCCGAUAGCGUAUAUUAAAGUUGCUGCGGUUAAAAAGCUCGUAGCUGGACUUCGCGUCCGGACUGACGGCCCGCCGAGGGUCUGACGACUGACGUCGCCUACGCGCAGCAUCGUACUCGUCCGUCGCGUCGCGUGCGUCCGCGCAUCGCUCAUAAGUCGGCGGCGGCGCGACUCGCUCGCUCGCGAUCCGUCACGUUCGACUUACCCCUCGCGCGGAUAACCUAGUCAAACCCGGGUCGCCGAAAUCCGCCGUUUCGCGAGGUUCGCCUCUGGUGACCCUAGCGUCCGGCAUUUUCGCUUUGAAUAAAUAAGAGUGCUCAAAGCGGGCGCAAAAAGUUUAACGCCGCCAAAACGAAAGCGCAUUGAACGAAGAAAUAAGACCUCGACCCCGCCGUCGUACGCGCCUCGCGCGCGCUCGUCGGUUCUAGGGGGCCGAGGUAACGAUUAAGAGAAGCGGGCGGAGACAUACGUAUUGCGUCGCUAGAGGUGAAAUUCGUUGACCGACGCAAGACGAACCGAGGCGAAGGCGUUUGUCGAGAACGUUUUCAUUAGUCAAGAACGAAAGUCAGAGGAUCGAAGGCGAUCAGAUACCGCCCUAGUUCUGACCGUAAACUUUGCUACCUGACGAUCCGCCGACGUCGUACCCUAGACUCGGCGGGAAGUCUCCGGGAAACCUAAGGUUUCGAGCUCCGGGGGAAGUAUGGUUGCAAAAGUGAAACUUAAAGGAAUUGACGGAAGGGCACCACCAGGAGUGGAGCCUGCGGCUUAAUUCGACUCAACACGGGUAACCUUAUCGGGACCGGACGCUGAAAGGAUUGACAGAUUGAGAGCUUUUUCUCGAUUUAGCGGCAGGUGGUGCAUGGCCGUUUCAAGUUGGUGGUGCGAAUUGUCUGGUUGAUUCCGGUAACGAGCGAGACUCUCCCUUGCUAAUUAGACGGCGAAUCGGCUCCGACAGUCGAGUUCGGCGGGCCUGCUCUGAGCAGCAGCUUCGUUCGUCGUUCUCUCUUCGGCCGGCGUUCGGGUCGCGCGCGGCGUUCGUGCGGCGAGUUCUUCGUCGUGUAGGGCGCCGUCGCGUCGAGGCUCGGCGUCGUUAAGGUCGAGCGUAGAGGGGCGGCGGAGUUCGUCGACUCGUCUAGGAGCGUUCGUCCGCUUUGAAAAAAAUAAGCGUCUUCUUAGAGGAAUUGGCGGCGCACGUUCAGUAGCCGCACGAAAAUGAGCCAAAACAGGUCUGUGAUGCCCUUAGAUGUUCCGAGCCGCACGCGCGCUACAAUGGUAGGUUCAACGCGCAUUGUUCUCCUCCGAAAGGAGCGGGUAAUCGCGGCAAGGCCAUUAGACUUCGGUAGGGAUUGGGGCUUGGAAUUACCCCCACGAACGAGGAAUUCCUAGUAGUCGCGAGUCCUCAGCCCGCGUCGAUUGAGUCUCUGCCCUUUGUACACACCGCCCGUCGCUACUACCGAUUGAGUGAUCGAGUGAGGGCCUCGGACUGGCGCCCAGGGCCGAUCGACCUUCCCGUUUCGGCGGGAGGCCGUCGCCUAGGGCUGACGGAAUGACGUCCCAGCUCGGAUAUUUAGAGGAAGUAAAAGU
RNAcentral lists this ribosomal RNA (2153 nucleotides) under Diastyloides biplicatus. RNAcentral describes it as "SSU rRNA". It matches the Rfam family "Eukaryotic small subunit ribosomal RNA". The record is from RNAcentral. Lineage: Eukaryota; Metazoa; Arthropoda; Malacostraca; Cumacea; Diastylidae.